This 383-nucleotide ribosomal RNA is filed under the name uncultured bacterium. Its description in RNAcentral is "bacterial SSU rRNA". It matches the Rfam family "Bacterial small subunit ribosomal RNA", at positions 28 to 403 of the family's 1533-position model. The record is from RNAcentral.
GAUGAACGCUAGCGGCAGGCUUAAUACAUGCAAGUCGAGGGGCAGCAGGGGUGUAGCAAUACACUCGCUGGCGACCGGCAAACGGGUGCGGAACACGUACGCAACUUACCCAAAACUGGGGAAUAGCCCGGGGAAACCCGGAUUAAUACCUCGUAACAUAAUGAAGUGGCAUCACUUUAUUAUUAUAGCUCCGGCGGUUUUGGAUGGGCGUGCGCCUGAUUAGGUAGUUGGCGGGGUAACGGCCCACCAAGCCUACGAUCAGUAACUGGUGUGAGAGCACGACCAGUCACACGGGCACUGAGACACGGGCCCGACUCCUACGGGAGGCAGCAGUAAGGAAUAUUGGUCAAUGGGACGCAAGUCUGAACCAGCCAUGCCGCGUG